GGGGGUAUAGCUUAGUGGUAGAGCACAUGCUUAGCAUGCAUGAGGUCCUGGGUUCAAUACCCAGUACCUCCA
RNAcentral lists this transfer RNA (72 nucleotides) under Camelus bactrianus (Bactrian camel). It matches the Rfam family "tRNA". From Rfam's summary of the family: Transfer RNA (tRNA) molecules are approximately 80 nucleotides in length. Their secondary structure includes four short double-helical elements and three loops (D, anti-codon, and T loops). The record is from Rfam by way of RNAcentral. RNAcentral also lists the same sequence under 2 other names. Lineage: Eukaryota; Metazoa; Chordata; Mammalia; Artiodactyla; Camelidae.